GACUGCUAUUGGGGUUCGACUAAGCCAUGCGAGUUUUCCGCAAGGAAGCGAACUGCUGAGUAACACGUAGGCAACCUAACUUAAGGUGAGAAAUACCCUCGAGAAAUUGAGGCUAAUGUCUUAUAGGUUUUGGACACUGGAAUGUGCCAAAACUCAAAGCUUCGGCGCCUUAAGAUGGGCCUGCGACUGAUCAGGCUGUUGGCGGGGUAAUGGCCCACCAAACCAUCGACCAGUAGGGGCGGUGAGAGCUGAAGCCCCCAGUUGAGUACUGAGACACGGACUCAGGCCCUACGGGGCGCAGCAGGCGCGAAACCUCCGCAAUGCACGCAAGUGUGACGGGGGGACCCCAAGUGUUCUCGGUUUUACCGAGAAUUUUUCUUUAGCGUAAAUAACUGGAGGAAUAAGAGCUGGGUAAGACAGGUGCCAGCCGCCGCGGUAAUACCUGCAGCUCGAGUUGUCUGGAGUUUUAUUGGGUCUAAAGCGUCCGUAGCCGGACCUACAAGUUCUCUGUGAAAUCCAGCAGCCUAACUGUUGGACGUGCGGGGAAUACUGUUGGUCUUGGGACCGGGAAGGGCUAAGGGUACUCUCGGGGUAGGGGUGAAAUCCAAUAAUCCUGAGGGGACCACCUGUGGCUAAACCUUUUCAAGUGUGAAGAGGUUCCACUUAAGGCGCUUAGCUUAAACGGGUCCGACGGUGAGGGACGAAAGCCAGGGGAGCGAACGGGAUUAGAUACCCCGGUAGUCCUGGCUGUAAAUGAUGCGGACUAGGUGUUACAAACCUCUCGUAGGUCUGUAGUGCCGAAGGGAAGCCAUUAAGUCCGCCACCUGGGAAGUACGGUCGCAAGAUUGAAACUUAAAGGAAUUGACGGGGGAGCACCACAAGGGGUGGAGCCUGCGGUUUAAUUGGAUUAAACGCCGGAAAUCUCACUGGGGGCGACAGCAGUAUGAAGGCCAGGUUGACGACCUUGCUAGACUCGCUGAGAGGUAGUGCAUGGCCGUCGUCAGUUCGUGCCGUAAGGUGUUCGGUUAAGUCCGACAACGAACGAGACCCAUGCCAUUAGUUGCUAACUUUCCUUUCGAGGGGGGUGCACUCUAAUGGGACCGCUGUUGAUGAAGCAGAGGAAGGCGUGGGCAACGGUAGGUCAGUAUGCUCCGAAUCCCCCAGGCUACACGCGGGCUACAAUGGUUGGCACAAUGAGUUGCGACCCUGAAAAGGGUAGCUAAUCUCCAAAUCCAACCCCAGUUCGGAUCGAGGGCUGUAACUCGCCCUCGUGAAGCCGGAAUCCCUAGUAAUCAGGUGUCAUUAGCGCCUGGUGAAUACGUCCCUGCUCCUUGUACACACCGCCCGUCAAAUCACCUGAGUUAGGUUUGGGUGAGGCUUCGCCUAUUGGCGAAUUCGAACCCGAGCUUAGCAAGGGGGGU
RNAcentral lists this ribosomal RNA (1421 nucleotides) under uncultured archaeon. RNAcentral describes it as "bacterial SSU rRNA". It matches the Rfam family "Archaeal small subunit ribosomal RNA". The record is from RNAcentral.